ACUUAGAGAAAUUUUGCUGACAUAAACAAGGACAUCACAUCAGAAAUGAAAUACUAGGCACUUAAGAGACUAAUCUUCCACAAACCUGCAUGGACACCAUUGAAUGUACGUCAUAAGAGCAUGUCUACCGCAAGGAGAAUUAUUCCCAUUUCAAUUAGAUCUCAAGGCACACUGAAGGUGGCAGUACAAUGAAGAAAAGGAGCAAGAAACAUCACAUUCCUUCCUGAGUUCUGAUAGAUGAUUCCGGGUAUGCUCCGAGCACUCUGACAAGGUCCCAAUGUGCUGACCAGAGGCCACCUUUAUACAUACAGAAGUAAUACAUAUAUUAGGAAAUGCCACAUACAAAGUCCACUGAAGAAAUUUUCCAAUUUAAAUAUACAAGACAAAAUAAAAAAUCGUUCAUUUCUUGGCAUCCUGAGUCCCACA
Long non-coding RNA from Mastomys coucha (southern multimammate mouse), 426 nucleotides. RefSeq lists it as uncharacterized. The transcript has 3 exons. The record is from RefSeq and is a predicted model, not a curated record. Lineage: Eukaryota; Metazoa; Chordata; Mammalia; Rodentia; Muridae.